Molecule: ribosomal RNA, 497 nt
Filed under: uncultured bacterium
Lineage: Bacteria
Description: partial 16S ribosomal RNA
Rfam family: Bacterial small subunit ribosomal RNA
Source: RNAcentral
GAUGAACGCUGGCGGCGUGCCUAAUACAUGCAAGUCGAGCGAACAGACGCGGUGCUUGCUCUUCUGACGUUAGCGGCGGACGGGUGAGUAACACGUGGAUAACCUACCUAUCAGACUGGGAUAACUUCGGGAAACCGGAGCUAAUACCGGAUAAUAUUUCGAACCGCAUGGUUCAAUAGUGAAAGACGGCUUUGCCUUCUCUUAUAGAUGGAUCCGCGCCGCAUUAGCUAGUUGGUAAGGUAACGGCUUACCAAGGCAACGAUGCGUAGCCGACCUGAGAGGGUGAUCGGCCACACUGGAACUGAGACACGGUCCAGACUCCUACGGGAGGCAGCAGUAGGGAAUCUUCCGCAAUGGGCGAAAGCCUGACGGAGCAACGCCGCGUGAGUGAUGAAGGUCUUCGGAUCGUAAAACUCUGUUAUUAGGGAAGAACAAAUGUGUAAGUAACUAUGCACGUCUUGACGGUACCUAAUCAGAAAGCCACGGCUAACUACGUG